UCAGUGAAAGCAACGGGAAGCCUCCGGAGCGCAGUGGGAGCAUUCCCACUGCGCUCCGGAGGCUUCCCGUUGCUUUCGCUGA
Molecule: non-coding RNA, 82 nt
Organism: Podarcis lilfordi (Lilford's wall lizard)
Lineage: Eukaryota; Metazoa; Chordata; Lepidosauria; Squamata; Lacertidae
Source: the annotation of a GenBank genome assembly